This 466-nucleotide ribosomal RNA is filed under the name uncultured bacterium. Its description in RNAcentral is "partial 16S ribosomal RNA". It matches the Rfam family "Bacterial small subunit ribosomal RNA", at positions 28 to 507 of the family's 1533-position model. The record is from RNAcentral.
GAUGAACGCUGGCGGCGUGCUUAACACAUGCGAGUCGAACGAUGAAGCCCAGCUUGCUGGGUGGAUUAGUGGCGAACGGGUGAGUAACACGUGAGUAACCUGCCCUUAACUCUGGGAUAAGCCUGGGAAACUGGGUCUAAUACCGGAUAGGAGUGUCCACCGCAUGGUGGGUGUUGGAAAGAUUUAUCGGUUUUGGAUGGACUCGCGGCCUAUCAGCUUGUUGGUGAGGUAAUGGCUCACCAAGGCGACGACGGGUAGCCGGCCUGAGAGGGUGACCGGCCACACUGGGACUGAGACACGGCCCAGACUCCUACGGGAGGCAGCAGUGGGGAAUAUUGCACAAUGGGCGCAAGCCUGAUGCAGCGACGCCGCGUGAGGGAUGACGGCCUUCGGGUUGUAAACCUCUUUCAGUAGGGAAGAAGCGAAAGUGACGGUACCUGCAGAAGAAGCACCGGCUAACUACGUG